GAUGAACGCUAGCGGCAGGCCUAAUACAUGCAAGUCGAACGGUAAGUAUGGUAGCAAUAUUAUACGAGAGUGACGUACGGGUGCGUAACACGUAUGCAACCUACCCUUUACAGGCGGAUAGCUCGGGGAAACUCGAAUUAACCCGUCAUAAUAUAAUUGGAUGGCAUCAUUUGAUUAUUAAAACUCCGGUGGUAAAGGAUGGGCAUGCGUCUGAUUAGUUAGUUGGCGGGGUAACGGCCCACCAAGACGAUGAUCAGUAGGGGAACUGAGAGGUUGAUCCCCCACACUGGCACUGAGAUACGGGCCAGACUCCUACGGGAGGCAGCAGUAGGGAAUAUUGGUCAAUGGAUACAAGUCUGAACCAGCCAUGCCGCGUGCAGGAAGAAGGCCUUCUGGGUUGUAAACUGCUUUUGCCAGGGGAUAAAAUUUCCUUGCGAGGAAAAUUGAAGGUACCUGGUGAAUAAGCCACGGCUAACUACGUGCCAGCAGCCGCGGUAAUACGUAGGUGGCAAGCGUUGUCCGGAUUUAUUGGGUUUAAAGGGUGCGUAGGCGGCUUUGUAAGUCAGUGGUGAAAUAUGUCAGCUUAACUGAGAGGGUGCCAUUGAUACUGCAGAGCUUGAGUACAGAUGAGGUAGGCGGAAUUGACGGUGUAGCGGUGAAAUGCUUAGAUAUCGUCAAGAACACCUAUAGCGAAGGCAGCUUACUAGGCUGUAACUGACGCUGAGGCACGAAAGUGUGGGGAUCAAACAGGAUUAGAUACCCUGGUAGUCCACACUGUAAACGUUGAUUACUCGCUGUGUGCGAUAUACAGUACGCGGCCAAGCGAAAGCGAUAAGUAAUCCACCUGGGGAGUACGCCGGCAACGGUG
RNAcentral lists this ribosomal RNA (868 nucleotides) under uncultured bacterium. RNAcentral describes it as "bacterial SSU rRNA". It matches the Rfam family "Bacterial small subunit ribosomal RNA", at positions 28 to 896 of the family's 1533-position model. The record is from RNAcentral.